AUUGAACGCUGGCGGCAUGCCUUACACAUGCAAGUCGAACGGCAGCAUGAUCUAGCUUGCUAGAUUGAUGGCGAGUGGCGAACGGGUGAGUAAUACAUCGGAACGUUCCCUGUAGUGGGGGAUAACUAGUCGAAAGAUUAGCUAAUACCGCAUACGACCUGAGGGUGAAAGUGGGGGACCGCAAGGCCUCAUGCUAUAGGAGCGGCCGAUGUCUGAUUAGCUAGUUGGUGAGGUAAAGGCUCACCAAGGCGACGAUCAGUAGCUGGUCUGAGAGGACGAUCAGCCACACUGGGACUGAGACACGGCCCAGACUCCUACGGGAGGCAGCAGUGGGGAAUUUUGGACAAUGGGCGAAAGCCUGAUCCAGCAAUGCCGCGUGUGUGAAGAAGGCCUUCGGGUUGUAAAGCACUUUUGUCCGGAAAGAAAUGGCUCUGGUUAAUACCUGGGGUCGAUGACGGUACCGGAAGAAUAAGGACCGGCUAACUACGUG
This 490-nucleotide ribosomal RNA is filed under the name uncultured bacterium. RNAcentral describes it as "partial 16S ribosomal RNA". It matches the Rfam family "Bacterial small subunit ribosomal RNA", at positions 30 to 507 of the family's 1533-position model. The record is from RNAcentral.